This 301-nucleotide ribosomal RNA is filed under the name uncultured bacterium. RNAcentral describes it as "partial 16S ribosomal RNA". It matches the Rfam family "Bacterial small subunit ribosomal RNA", at positions 509 to 809 of the family's 1533-position model. The record is from RNAcentral.
CAGCCGCCGCGGUAAUACGAGGGGGGCAAGCGUUGUUCGGAAUUAUUGGGCGUAAAGGGUGCGUAGGCGGUUCAGCAAGUCUCGUGUGAAAUCUUCGGGCUCAACCCGAAGUCUGCACGGGAAACUACUGGGCUUGAGUAAUGGAGAGGUGAGUGGAAUUUCCGGUGUAGCGGUGAAAUGCGUAGAUAUCGGAAGGAACACCUGUGGCGAAAGCGGCUCACUGGACAUUUACUGACGCUGAUGCGCGAAAGCGUGGGGAGCAAACAGGAUUAGAUACCCCGGUAGUCCCUGUCUCUUAUAA